RNAcentral lists this ribosomal RNA (176 nucleotides) under uncultured bacterium. Its description in RNAcentral is "partial 16S ribosomal RNA". It matches the Rfam family "Bacterial small subunit ribosomal RNA", at positions 1325 to 1500 of the family's 1533-position model. The record is from RNAcentral.
GCUGGAAUCGCUAGUAAUCGCAGAUCAGAAUGCUGCGGUGAAUACGUUCCCGGGUCUUGUACACACCGCCCGUCACACCAUGGGAGCCGGGAAUGCCCGAAGUCGGUGACCCAACCGUAAGGAGGGAGCCGCCGAAGGCAGGCCUGGUAACUGGGGUGAAGUCGUAACAAGGUAAC